This 378-nucleotide ribosomal RNA is filed under the name uncultured eukaryote. RNAcentral describes it as "partial 18S ribosomal RNA". It matches the Rfam family "Eukaryotic small subunit ribosomal RNA", at positions 592 to 976 of the family's 1831-position model. The record is from RNAcentral.
CAAUAGCGUAUAUUAAAGUUGUUGCAGUUAAAAAGCUCGUAGUUGAAACUUGGGCCUGGCUGGCGGGUCCGCCUCACCGCGUGCACUCGUCCGGCCGGGCCUUCCUUCUGAAGAACCUCAUGCCCUUCACUGGGCGUGCUGGGGAAUCAGGACUUUUACUUUGAAAAAAUUAGAGUGUUCAAAGCAGGCCUUUGCUCGAAUACGUUAGCAUGGAAUAAUAAAACAGGGCGUGCGUUUCUAUUUUGUUGGUUUCUAGAGACGCCGCAAUGAUUAACAGGAACAGUCGGGGGCAUCAGUAUUCAGUUGUCAGAGGUGAAAUUCUUGGAUUUACUGAAGACUAACUACUGCGAAAGCAUUUGCCAUGGAUGUUUUCAUUAG